RNAcentral lists this ribosomal RNA (498 nucleotides) under uncultured bacterium. RNAcentral's name for it is "partial 16S ribosomal RNA". It matches the Rfam family "Bacterial small subunit ribosomal RNA", at positions 30 to 523 of the family's 1533-position model. The record is from RNAcentral.
AUUGAACGCUGGCGGCAUGCCUUACACAUGCAAGUCGAACGGCAGCACGGGGCAACCUGGUGGCGAGUGGCGAACGGGUGAGUAAUGCAUCGGAACGUACCUUUCAGUGGGGGAUAACGUAGCGAAAGUUACGCUAAUACCGCAUAUUCUGUGAGCAGGAAAGCAGGGGAUCGCAAGACCUUGCGCUGAUUGAGCGGCCGAUGUCAGAUUAGCUAGUUGGUGAGGUAAAGGCUAACCAAGGCGACGAUCUGUAGCGGGUCUGAGAGGAUGAUCCGCCACACUGGAACUGAGACACGGUCCAGCCUCCUACGGGAGGCAGCAGUGGGGAAUUUUGGACAAUGGGGGCAACCCUGAUCCAGCCAUGCCGCGUGAGUGAAGAAGGCCUUCGGGUUGUAAAGCUCUUUCGGCCGGGAAGAAAUCGCACGGGCUAAUACCCUGUGUGGAUGACGGUACCGGAAUAAGAAGCACCGACUAACUACGUGCCAGCAGCCGCGGUAA